Molecule: ribosomal RNA, 215 nt
Filed under: uncultured bacterium
Lineage: Bacteria
Description: partial 16S ribosomal RNA
Rfam family: Bacterial small subunit ribosomal RNA
Source: RNAcentral
UACGUAGGGUGCAAGCGUUAAUCGGAAUUACUGGGCGUAAAGCGUGCGCAGGCGGUUUUGUAAGUCUGUCGUGAAAUCCCCGGGCUCAACCUGGGAAUUGCGAUGGAGACUGCAAGGCUAGAAUCUGGCAGAGGGGGGUAGAAUUCCACGUGUGAGCAGUUGAAAUGCGUAGAGAUGUGGAGGAACACCGAUGGCGAAGGCAGCCCCCUGGGUCA